UACGUAGGCAGCGAGCGUUGUUCGGAGUUACUGGGCGUAAAGGGUGUGUAGGCGGUCUACUAAGUUUGGUGUGAAAUCUCCCGGCUCAACUGGGAGGGUGCGCCGAAAACUGGAAGGCUAGAGUACUGGAUGGGAGAGUGGAAUUCCUGGUGUAGCGGUGAAAUGCGUAGAUAUCAGGAGGAACACCUGUGGUGUAGACGGCUCUCUGGACAGUCACUGACGCUGAGACACGAAAGCGUGGGUAGCAAACAGG
This 253-nucleotide ribosomal RNA is filed under the name uncultured bacterium. Its description in RNAcentral is "partial 16S ribosomal RNA". It matches the Rfam family "Bacterial small subunit ribosomal RNA", at positions 524 to 776 of the family's 1533-position model. The record is from RNAcentral.